GUACCUUUUGUAUAAUGGGUCAGCGACUUAUAUUCUGUAGCAAGGUUAACCGCAUAGGGGAGCCGAAGGGAAACCGAGUCUUAAUUGGGCGUUAAGUUGCAGGGUAUAGACCCGAAACCCGGUGAUCUAGCCAUGGGCAGGUUGAAGGUUGGGUAACACUAACUGGAGGACCGAACCGACUAAUGUUGAAAAAUUAGCGGAUGACCUGUGGCUGGGGGUGAAAGGCCAAUCAAACCGGGAGAUAGCUGGUUCUCCCCGAAAGCUAUUUAGGUAGCGCCUCGUGAACUCAUCUCCGGGGGUAGAGCACUGUUUCGGCUAGGGGGCCAUCCCGGCUUACCAACCCGAUGCAAACUGCGAAUACCGGAGAAUGUUAUCACGGGAGACACACGGCGGGUGCUAACGUCCGUCGUGAAGAGGGAAACAACCCAGACCGCCAGCUAAGGUCCCAAAGUCAUGGUUAAGUGGGAAACGAUGUGGGAAGGCCCAGACAGCCAGGAUGUUGGCUUAGAAGCAGCCAUCAUUUAAAGAAAGCGUAAUAGCUCACUGGUCGAGUCGGCCUGCGCGGAAGAUGUAACGGGGCUAAACCAUGCACCGAAGCUGCGGCAGCGAACGUAUCACUUAAAACGAUUCAGAAGCUUACGAUUGACGGAGCGAAGCGACGUCAAAGCGUAUACAAAGUCGAGUCGGUUUAAGGAUACGUUCGUUGGGUAGGGGAGCGUUCUGUAAGCCGUUGAAGGUGGCCUGUGAGGGUUGCUGGAGGUAUCAGAAGUGCGAAUGCUGACAUAAGUAACGAUAAAGCGGGUGAAAAGCCCGCUCGCCGGAAGACCAAGGGUUCCUGUCCAACGUUAAUCGGGGCAGGGUGAGUCGACCCCUAAGGCGAGGCCGAAAGGCGUAGUCGAUGGGAAACGGGUUAAUAUUCCCGUACUUGGUGUUACUGCGAAGGGGGGACGGAGAAGGCUAUGUUGGCCGGGCGACGGUUGUCCCGGUUUAAGCGUGUAGGUGUGUGUUCCAGGUAAAUCCGGUUCACUUUAACACUGAGGCGUGACGACGAGGCACCACGGUGCUGAAGCAACAAAUGCCCUGCUUCCAGGAAAAGCCUCUAAGCAUCAGGUAACAUCAAAUCGUACCCCAAACCGACACAGGUGGUCAGGUAGAGAAUACCAAGGCGCUUGAGAGAACUCGGGUGAAGGAACUAGGCAAAAUGGUGCCGUAACUUCGGGAGAAGGCACGCUGACAUGUAGGUGAAGUGAUUUGCUCAUGGAGCUGAAGUCAGUCGAAGAUACCAGCUGGCUGCAACUGUUUAUUAAAAACACAGCACUGUGCAAACACGAAAGUGGACGUAUACGGUGUGACGCCUGCCCGGUGCCGGAAGGUUAAUUGAUGGGGUCAGCGCAAGCGAAGCUCCUGAUCGAAGCCCCGGUAAACGGCGGCCGUAACUAUAACGGUCCUAAGGUAGCGAAAUUCCUUGUCGGGUAAGUUCCGACCUGCACGAAUGGCGUAAUGAUGGCCAGGCUGUCUCCACCCGAGACUCAGUGAAAUUGAACUCGCUGUGAAGAUGCAGUGUACCCGCGGCAAGACGGAAAGACCCCGUGAACCUUUACUAUAGCUUGACACUGAACAUUGAGCCUUGAUGUGUAGGAUAGGUGGGAGGCUUUGAAGCGUGGACGCCAGUCUGCGUGGAGCCAACCUUGAAAUACCACCCUUUAAUGUUUGAUGUUCUAACGUGGACCCGUGAUCCGGGUUGCGGACAGUGUCUGGUGGGUAGUUUGACUGGGGCGGUCUCCUCCUAAAGAGUAACGGAGGAGCACGAAGGUUGGCUAAUCCUGGUCGGACAUCAGGAGGUUAGUGCAAUGGCAUAAGCCAGCUUGACUGCGAGCGUGACGGCGCGAGCAGGUGCGAAAGCAGGUCAUAGUGAUCCGGUGGUUCUGAAUGGAAGGGCCAUCGCUCAACGGAUAAAAGGUACUCCGGGGAUAACAGGCUGAUACCGCCCAAGAGUUCAUAUCGACGGCGGUGUUUGGCACCUCGAUGUCGGCUCAUCACAUCCUGGGGCUGAAGUAGGUCCCAAGGGUAUGGCUGUUCGCCAUUUAAAGUGGUACGCGAGCUGGGUUUAGAACGUCGUGAGACAGUUCGGUCCCUAUCUGCCGUGGGCGCUGGAGAAUUGAGGGGGGCUGCUCCUAGUACGAGAGGACCGGAGUGGACGCAUCACUGGUGUUCGGGUUGUCAUGCCAAUGGCACUGCCCGGUAGCUAAAUGCGGAAGAGAUAAGUGCUGAAAGCAUCUAAGCACGAAACUUGCCCCGAGAUGAGUUCUCCCUGAGACUUAAAGUCUCCUGAAGGAACGUUAAAGACGAUGACGUUGAUAGGCCGGGUGUGUAAGCGCAGCGAUGCGUUGAGCUAACCGGUACUAAUGAACCGUGAGGCUUAACCUU
This 2427-nucleotide ribosomal RNA is filed under the name Salmonella enterica subsp. salamae serovar 13,22:z29:enx. RNAcentral's name for it is "bacterial LSU rRNA". It matches the Rfam family "Bacterial large subunit ribosomal RNA", at positions 601 to 2925 of the family's 2925-position model. The record is from RNAcentral. Lineage: Bacteria; Pseudomonadati; Pseudomonadota; Gammaproteobacteria; Enterobacterales; Enterobacteriaceae.